UUAACUAUUUGCUUGUUACUUCAGGCUGCAGUGUUUUUCAGGGUUGGGUUUCCGGCCGGCGGGCACCGUCGAUCGAGGGUGCCGGCUCUGGGCCGAAGUUAGACGGUAAGCAAAGGGUGGGGGAGAGCGCCGGGGCGCUCGGUGACCCAGUAAUGAUCCUUCCGCAGGUUCACCUACGGAAA
This 182-nucleotide unclassified non-coding RNA is filed under the name uncultured fungus. Its description in RNAcentral is "sequence contains ITS1". The record is from RNAcentral. Lineage: Eukaryota; Fungi.